Molecule: ribosomal RNA, 493 nt
Filed under: uncultured bacterium
Lineage: Bacteria
Description: partial 16S ribosomal RNA
Rfam family: Bacterial small subunit ribosomal RNA
Source: RNAcentral
AUUGAACGCUGGCGGCAUGCUUUACACAUGCAAGUCGAACGGUAACAGGUUAAGCUGGCGAGUGGCGAACGGGUGAGUAAUACAUCGGAACGUACCUAUUAGUGGGGGACAACUAAGCGAAAGUUUAGCUAAUACCGCAUACGACCUGAGGGUGAAAGCAGGGGAUCUUCGGACCUUGCGCUAAUAGAGCGGCCGAUGGCUGAUUAGCUAGUUGGUGAGGUAAAGGCUCACCAAGGCGACGAUCAGUAGCGGGUCUUAGAGGACGAUCCGCCACACUGGAACUGAGACACGGUCCAGACUCCUACGGGAGGCAGCAGUGGGGAAUCUUGGACAAUGGGCGAAAGCCUGAUCCAGCAAUGCCGCGUGGGUGAAGAAGGCCUUCGGGUUGUAAAGCCCUUUUGUACGGGAGCAAAUCCUUGUCGCUAAUACCGGCUGGGGAUGAGAGUACCGUAAGAAUCAGCACCGGCUAACUACGUGCCAGCCGCCGCCGUAA